Molecule: ribosomal RNA, 1123 nt
Filed under: uncultured Alphaproteobacteria bacterium
Lineage: Bacteria; Pseudomonadati; Pseudomonadota; Alphaproteobacteria
Description: bacterial SSU rRNA
Rfam family: Bacterial small subunit ribosomal RNA
Source: RNAcentral
AUGCAAGUCGACGCAGUAGCAAUACUGAGUGGCAAACGGGUGAGUAUAAUGUGGGAAUCUGCCUUUUGGUUUGGAAUAACACGAGGAAACUUGUGCUAAUACCGGAUAAGUCUUUCCGGAGAAAGCUUUAUGCACCAUUGAAUGAGCCUGCACUUGAUUAGUUUGUUGGUAGGGUAAUGGCCUACCAAGACUGUGAUCAAUAGCUGAUUUGAGAGGAUGAUCAGCCACAUUGGGACUGACACACGGCCCAAACUCCUACGGGAGGCAACACUGGGGAAUCUUGCACAAUGUAGGAAACUCUGAUGCAGCGAUGCCGCGUGAGUGAAGAAGGCCCUUGCCUUGUAAAGCUCUUUCCUCGGGGAAGAAAAUGACUGGACCCGAAUAAUAAGGCCCGGCUAACUUCGUGCCAUCACCCGCGGUAAUACGAAGGGACCUAGCGUAAUUCGGAAUUACUGCGCUUAAAGAGUUCGUACGCGGUUGAAAAAGUUGGUGGUGAAAUCCCAGAGCUUAACUCUGGAACUGCCAUCAAAACUUUUCAGCUAGAGUAUGAUAGAGGAAAGCAAAAUUUCUAGUGUAGAGGUGAAAUUCGUAGAUAUUAAAAAGAAUACCAAUUGCGAAGGCCGCUUUCUGGAUCAUUACAGACACUGAUGAACGAAAGCAUGGGUAGCGAAAAGGAUUAGAUACCCUCUUAGUCCAUGCCGUAAACGAUGCGUGUUAGACGUUGGAAAUCUAUUUUCAGUGUCGCAGCGAAAGCGAUAAACACACCGCCUGGUGAGUACGACCGCAAGAUAAAACUCAAAUGAAAUGACGAGUACCCGCAAAGUAGUGUAGCAUGUGUUUAAUUCUACAUACGCGCAGAAUCUUACCAACACUUGACAUGAUACGUCGCGACUUUAAGAGAUUAAAGUUAUCAGCUCUGCGGGACGAAACACAGUGCUGCAUGGCUGAUCGUCAGCUCGUGUCGAGACAUGUGAGUUAAGUCCCGCAACGAGCGCUACCCUCGACUUGACUGUCAUCAUUAGCUUGGGGCCUCUGAAGAACUCGCGAUGAAAGCUCGCAGAAAAGAGGGGGAUGACCCCAGACCUCAUGGGCCCUACAGAGGUGGGGUUGAAAAACAGUCGUU